This is a long non-coding RNA of Macrobrachium nipponense, 5664 nucleotides long. RefSeq lists it as uncharacterized. The transcript is spliced from 2 exons. The record is from RefSeq and is a predicted model, not a curated record. Lineage: Eukaryota; Metazoa; Arthropoda; Malacostraca; Decapoda; Palaemonidae.
AUCCUUACUGCUCUCCGAUAUCGGAUCCAGAGGCAUUAGCAAUAGAUGCUCUUCUUCUGGACUGGAACGGACUCGACGUCUACGCGUUUCCCCCCUUCAAGAUCCUGGGGCUAACCAUCAAGAAGUUCGUAGAGUCCGAUUCAACGAGAAUGACCUUAAUCGCUCCCUUUUGGCCGGCCCAAGAAUGGUUCACAGAGGUACUGGAAUGGUUGGUGGACCUUCCAAGAUCGCUCCCGCUAAGGAGCGAUCUACUCAGACAACCCCACUUCGACAGGUACCACAAAAAUCUCCUCGCUCUCAGUCUGACUGGCUUCAGACUGUCCAAAGUUUGGUCAGAGCGAAAGGCUUUUCAGCAACAGCUGCUAAAGCAAUCGCAAGAGCGAGGAGACCUUCCACCUUGCGUGUAUACCAGUCAAAGUGGGAUGUCUUCAGACGUUGGUGCAAGAGGAAGAACAUUUCCUCUUCCAGUACCUCUGUGACCCAAAUUGCGGAUUUCCUUAUUUUCCUCAAAGAAGAAUGUCAUCUGGUUGUGUCAACUAUUAAGGGAUACCGCAGUAUGUUGGCGGCGGUAUUUCGGCAUAGAGGCUUAAAGAUAUCCGAUGAUAAGGACUUGCAUGAUCUUAUUAGAUCAUUUGAAACCAUUAAGCGUCCUCAUGUGGUACCAAACUGGAAUCUAGACGUAGUUCUACAAUUCCUUGGAUCGUCUAGAUUCGAACCUCCUAGCUUAGCCUCUUUCAAGGAUCUGACGAAGAAGGCUAUCUUCCUUUUGGCCCUUGCUACAGCUAAGAGAGUGAGUGAGCUCCAAGCUAUUGAGGGCAAUGUAGGGUUUAAGGAAGAUUCUAUGGUGUGUUCGUUUCUUCCAAAUUUCCUUGCAAAGAAUGAAAACCCAUCACGGCCUUGGCCCAGGAGCUUUGAAGUUCGUAGUUUAUCUUUUCUAGUAGGGGAAGAGCCUGAAAGAACUCUUUGCCCUAUGAGAAUUAUGAAGUAUUUCCUAAGAGGAAGGAACAACUUAAGGCGAAUCAAGAUGUGCUUUGGUGCUCUGUAAAGGACCCCACUCGGCCCAUGUCGAAGAAUGCUCUUUCCUUUUUUCUGAGAAGCCUUAUUACAGAGGCACAUGUUGCUUGUAAGGAAGAACAUUUUAAACUACUGAAAGUGAAAGCUCACGAGGUGAGAGCCAUUGCAACUUCGCUUGCAUUCAGAAAAAUAUGUCUGUGCGGAACUUGAUGGAGGCGACCUUUUGGAGAUGCCAAUCGGUUUUCGCAAACCACUACCUACGUGAUGUAAAAAUCACAUAUGAUAAAUGCUUCGCCUUGGGUCCUUUCGUAUCGGCGGAUUCGGUGCUGGGGCAGGGAGCUGAAACUUAUCCUGUGUAAAUUCUUUAUAUGUUACCCUAUAUUUUAUAUUGUUGUUUUUUGGUUGUCUGAAAGAGGUUGCAGGAGGCACCUCUUUUUGUCGUAAUAUUAACCCUUUGUAUUUUGGUUAGGUGGUCUGGUGGGUUUUGGCUCCUUGCAGAGGUAGUGGUAAGGAUCUGUUAGGUAAGCGGACAAGGUCCCUCUAACAGCAUCCGACUUGGAUUCUACCACAAUAGGGGAUCACAUAUCCCAGUGGUAGAUCCGAGAGUCUUUCAGCAUCAGGUCACGUCCUAGCUGUAGCUCUCCAGGCAAUGCAAGACUCAGAGAUAGUAUCUAUGAAGUCUUCAUCCUGAAAAGGUGAGAACCAAGGUUUUUAUAUCCUACAACAUUAGUUGUUUCCCGUCUUACCUGUAUUAUUGAGCUGUCUCUUACCCUCCACCAAGGGUGCCAAUCAGCUAAGUAUAUAUCUGUCAGGGAAGUUCAUGUACAAAAAUGAUAUUGUUAAACUACAAUAAAGUUUUGUACAUACUUACCUGGCAGAUAUAUACGAUUAAUGGCCCACCCAGCCUCCCCUCAGGAGACAGGUGGAAGAGAAAAAUCUGACAAGCUUACGGGAGUGGUUCGUACAUCCGCCACCCAGCGCGGGUAAGGUAGACCACCUGACCUACCUGUCGCGUGUGCCGCGAGAUUUGAAAUUCUGUCGGGAACGUCGGAGACUAUAGCUAAGUAUAUAUCUGCCAGGUAAGUAUGUACAAAACUUUAUUGUAGUUUAACAAUAUCAUUUUUAAAGUACUGAGUGUCAUGAAAUUUGCAUGUCUAAUCUGAGUUCAGUAGUGAAAAAGGAAAAAAAUUAUAUUUUGAUUAUAAAGUACUGAAUUUGGCAGAGAAUGCAGCAGAAUUCAAGAAUUUUGAUCAUGAGCAAUUAUAACAAUUUUCGGAAUGAUAAAUCCAUUACUAAUGCAUUAAAAGAUACUUUUGGAAAAAACAUUAUUUGCCAUGACUCUUAACUACUGUUAAAGUUAGCUUGUAUUUUUGUGCUUUUAGGUUUGUUCAGCAUUUGAAAUAAACAGAAUAGCACUUGGCUAACCCUCACCAGGACUUUCUUUGUAAUCACCUGUUUCCCACCAGGUGGUAUUAGAAUGUUUACAGUGUGAAGUGGCUUAUUUUCUCCUGUACAAUAUUGCAUUUGUUUUCAUUUUUUGUAUGUCAUCAACACCAAGUGGAGAUGCAAGCAUUCAUCUGUACUUAUAGGAACAAGUUAAUUCCUCUCUCGUGAUUGCGCCACCUUCUUAUGUUUCCUAUGUAGUUCAGGAGAAAAAUAAUAGGUAAUUGAGACAUAAUCCUCUUUUAUUGGCUAGAAAUUUUACCUUAUAUAUUAUGGUAAAGAUUGCGAUCUCCUCCUUAGUGAUCGACCUUUUCAAUUCCCCUCAUGAGAGAGGUGUCAGAGCCUGGAUGUCUGUUUGUAGUCCACCUUUUGGACUGUCGUAUAUCUGUUGAUCUUCUCUGCUGACAGGGAACCAUGGCAUGUCUCAGGGCCAAGAUACGUAUGUACCUUUUGCCACCUCUCUCAACUAUCUUGUGGCUCGAAUUCGACACUCUCGGAAAGACUCGUUUGGUAGUGCUAGCAUUUACUGGCUUAUGUAUUAUUCUUCUUUUGGAGAGAUUGAUUGUGUUAUGUGUGAAUUGGUAUAGACUUAUUACAUUUACUGAAGUAGUCUUUGAACCAUGCAUCAAUUCUAUUUUUAAUCAUUUGCUCACCCUGUAUUGUCCCUCAUUUCAGAUGUUAACCCUCCCCCUCUUACUCAAUUUCUUCUCUAUCACCUUGCAGGUGUCACUUUUUGACAAAUGUUUCUAUUUAUACAAGUAGCUCGUCCCCUUCCUCUGGGUAUUUAUUUCUUAAGUUAGGCUAGUCUUGAUAGAACAAGCUCUUGCUUCUUGGCAAUCACCUUAAAGUUUUGCAGAUGGUUCUGACUGUUGUCCAUGCUCCAUGAAGAUGUCAUGUGAGAACCCUCUGCCUUUUCCUACGCAGUCGUCUCACCCAGCUAUCUGGUACAUACCACUAGUAUUCUGUCACAUCAUUGCUGGUGUUCCCUGCUAUAUCUCCUUAUCUGGUGUUUAUCUUUCACCGUCUUUGUCUGUAGAUGUGCCGUUUUCUACCAUCUCAGUUCUUCCUUGUAGACUUUAAGUUUUUCAACCCAGAUUUGUUUGAUUCCUCUUUAGUUUUCAAGUGAUGCAUAGUUCACGUUGUUCUGCUAUCACUCCCUUUUGCCAAAGAUGAAUCCUUUGACAUACACUCUUUUGUAUGAUAUACUACCUCAGUUCUUGUUUAAAUGAGUAAGAACUUAACACUGCUUAUGGUUAAGCAUAUUAUCAAGAAAAGUCAUCGCCAUUUGGAAAAGGGAUUAACAGAAAAAAGAGAAAGCUAGUAAAGUAUUUAAAGUUAAAUAGCUCUUUUCAUUUCCCUUAAAACCAUUUGCUAGAGAAGGUUAUCAAUGCAGGUAAGUGGAAAUGGAACACUGUUUGUGCCUCACAUUAUGUGCAAAAUGUUCAAAUGUAGACAAGAAGUGUAAAGCCUUAGUCCUAUCACUGAGGUGGAGACACUUUCUCCUGAACCAAAUAUGAGAGUGACCUUGCUUUCUGUCUAGGUGUUAGUUGUUAGGAAGUCCCACAAUUGAAUCUGGGGAGCAUGAAGUUACACAUUGGUGUAUAGGAGCAUACCAUCAUAGCUGGAGGUAGUUGUUAUGUUUAGUUGUAGAUUGUCAGUUAUGGGCUUUUUACUCCGGAACAGGAGUCAUGAGUACUCUAUGAGAUAGUGCUUUUUCCCUGUAAGGAUCCUCUGAUAAGGUUUGCUACGAGGAUCUCACACCUUGCUGUGGUUCCAGCGUUUGGAAACAUUACCGCUCAAUAAAAAGCAUUAGUUCACAUGGCUGAUCAGUUGGUUUCUCAGGCUGCACUAACCCACCAUCCUAAUUCAAUGUAGUAAUCAGCUAACUUUAACAGUAGGUAAGAUUCUUUCCAAAUAAUGAAUUUUUUUUUUUAUAAAAUUGAUUAUUUGAAUACUUACCUACUAUUAAAAUUGGAAACCCACCCAGCCUCCCCACACCCUAGUAGAUGGUCAUGAAGAAUUCUGACAACAACAUAAACAUCCCAACACCACCUAGUGGAAAACAGGUGAUCUCAGAUAUAGCCCUAGCUGGUGAGCCAAGCAUUUUUUUGUUCCAAUGCCGAUCACACAUAAUAGCACGAAGAUAAAGGCUAACUUUAACUGUAGGUAAGUAUCCAAAUUAUUAAUUUUAUUACAAUUUUAAUUUUAUAUAUCAGGUGUUUUAAAAUAUUUUUUAUAAAGUUUACAAUGCAUAUUUUAACAAUAAUACAGUAUUCGUACCUGAAUGUGUGCCACAUUGCACAUUGCUGUAGAGCAAGCAUAGGAAUGUCAGAAUAUUUUCAUUCUUGAGGAUAUUUUUUUUAAAAUUCCAAUACAUAUUGAAAACUGAAAUAUACAAAUCAGUACAUACUGUAAAAUAAUUUAAUCAAGAACUGAAUUUAAGGUGCCGGAUGAAGGUACACUAUGUUGAUUUCAGUUUUUCUUAUGUGUGUAAUUAUGGUGAUCUCAAAAAUAAAGCAAUUUUUAUUCUUUAUUGAAACAGGUUUUAAGAAGUUCAUUUUUUUAAGUUACAUGGUAACGAUUGUAAUUUAUAUUUUAGCUCUUUUCCUAUUUAAGACAUUAUUUAUACUUGUAUAUCAAUAAUACAGUUCAGUUUUGAAAAUAAUUGGGUUUAUUGAGCAAUAAUUGAUUUCCAAAAAUGUUUUUGUCACUCAACAGUUCUACAUUCCUUUAAUGUCUUCCAAAAAACUGCUGUGAAAGUUUUACUGCUAAUUUGCUUUGGUACUAUAGUUAUCUAACUUAGCUAAAACUUGAAGUGAAGAGAGUCUUCAUUGCAUAGCCUCUUAGAUGCUUAUAGGAACUCCUCGACAGAUGCAGUCACAGGUAUCACAAAUUCUUGUGAGCACAAUAAUGUCACACAAUGAUUAUUUACAUUUCAAUUAUUGUGCCUUAAUUGUGAGGUCACAGAUUGAACAUACCAGUAUUAACCAAUACUGUAACAAGUAGUUUAUCAGUUUUUAUUUUUGUCUCAUGUUAUAGUUUUGCUUUUAAAUUGAUAUCUGGAUGGUAUUCAUGUUGAUAAUUUCAGUUAUAAUAAUAUCUUCUUGUACAGAUAUUUGAAAUGUUUCUUGGCUUUUGAGGUAAACUUGGAUGUUUUCAUAUUUUAAAAUAAUUUUUCACUGUGUUAAUAAACAAUUUAUUGUUUAA